Molecule: ribosomal RNA, 254 nt
Filed under: uncultured bacterium
Lineage: Bacteria
Description: partial 16S ribosomal RNA
Rfam family: Bacterial small subunit ribosomal RNA
Source: RNAcentral
UACGGGGGGAGCAAGCGUUGUUCGGAUUUACUGGGCGUAAAGGGCGCGUAGGCGGUCAGCACAAGUCAGUUGUGAAAUCUCCGAGCUUAACUCGGAAAGGUCAACUGAUACUGUGCGACUAGAGUGCAGAAGGGGCAACUGGAAUUCUUGGUGUAGCGGUGAAAUGCGUAGAUAUCAAGAGGAACACCUGCGGCGAAGGCGGGUUGCUGGGCUGACACUGACGCUGAAGUGCGAAAGCCAGGGGAGCGAACGGG